This 877-nucleotide ribosomal RNA is filed under the name uncultured fungus. RNAcentral describes it as "SSU rRNA". It matches the Rfam family "Eukaryotic small subunit ribosomal RNA", at positions 612 to 1507 of the family's 1831-position model. The record is from RNAcentral. Lineage: Eukaryota; Fungi.
GUUGCAGUUAAAGCUCGUAGUUGAAUUUUGGCCUUGGGUGGUUUGGUUUGGCCUUCACUGGUCAAUGCCUUUUCCGCCUAGGUCUUACCUUCUGGGUUAGCUAGUGUUGCUUCGGUGGCGCUAGUGAACCAGAACUUUUACUUUGAAAAAAUUGGAGUGUUUAAAGCAGGCUUUCAAGCUUGAACAUAUUAGCAUGGAAUAAUGAAAUAGGACUUUGGCCUUAUUUCGUUGGUUUCUAAAGCCAAAGUAAUGAUGAAUAGGGAUAGUUGGGGACAUUAGUAUUCAAUUGUCAGAGGUGAAAUUCUUGGAUUUAUUGAAGACUAACUUCUGCGAAAGCAUUUGUCAAGGAUGUUUUCAUUAAUCAAGAACGAAAGUUAGGGGAUCGAAGACGAUCAGAUACCGUCGUAGUCUUAACCAUAAACUAUGCCGACUAAGGAUCGGAUGGUGUUAUAUUUUAUAUUGACCCAUUCGGCAUUUCAGCGAAAGCCAAGUUUUUGGGUUCCGGGGGGAGUAUGGUCGCAAGGCUGAAACUUAAAGGAAUUGACGGAAGGGCACCACCAGGAGUGGAGCCUGCGGCUUAAUUUGACUCAACACGGGGAAACUCACCAGGUCCAGACAUAGUAAGGAUUGACAGAUUGAGAGCUCUUUCUUGAUUCUAUGGGGUGGGUGGUGCAUGGCCGUUCUUAGUUCGUGGAGUGAUUUGUCUGGGUUAAUUCCGAUAACGAACGAGACCUUAUUCUGCUAAAUAGCCAGCAUGACUUUGGUCGUGUUUUUUUGGCUUCUUAGAGAGACUAUCAAUGUUUAUUUGAUGGAAGUUUGAGCAAUAACAGGUCUGUGAUGCCCUUAGAUGUCUGGGCCGCACGCGCGCUACACUGAU